GCCUCCGUGGUACAGUGGUUCUGUACCAGGGAGUUCUAUGUGGGUCAGCACAUAGAUCGCUGGUUCGAAUCCAGCCGGAGGCA
Beauveria asiatica is the source of this 83-nucleotide non-coding RNA. Lineage: Eukaryota; Fungi; Ascomycota; Sordariomycetes; Hypocreales; Cordycipitaceae. The record is from the annotation of a GenBank genome assembly.